UACGUAGGGUGCUAGCGUUAUCCGGAUUUAUUGGGCGUAAAGGGUGCGUAGGUGGUUUUUCAAGUCGGUGGUUAAAGACUACGGCUCAACCGUAUUAAGCCGCCGAAACUGGAAGACUUGAGUGCAGGAGAGGAAAGUGGAAUUCUCAGUGUAGCGGUGAAAUGCGUAGAUAUUGGGAAGAACACCAGUUGCGAAGGCGGCUUUCUGGACCGUAACUGACACUGAGGCACGAAAGCGUGGGUAGCGAACGGG
Molecule: ribosomal RNA, 252 nt
Filed under: uncultured bacterium
Lineage: Bacteria
Description: partial 16S ribosomal RNA
Rfam family: Bacterial small subunit ribosomal RNA
Source: RNAcentral